GAAUCUGCCUCAUACACACACGCACUCUGAUGCACACACAAACACACACGCUCUUCGGUGUGCACUCAUCUCGCUCUCUCUCUCUCUCUCUCUCUCUCUCUCUCCCGCUGAGGGAAUCUCUCUCUCUCUCUUAGUCUGAGUGAACACUCCUACUAUCGCUCUCCAUCUCUCUCCCACAUGGACUCUCACUCUCAUGUAGCGCUGCUCCUUUCUCCCCUGUGGAUGCUCUCCGUCAGAGCUUAGGACAGGAUAGACUGGAACACCACAACCGAUCUCUUUCUUCUCAUACAGCAGAAGGUACAUCUCUGUCUUUUACUCCAUUUCUCAUUUAUCACUGUAUUUUUUGUAGAUUGUCUAUUCCCUACAAGGAUCUUUUAAUCAUUUAUGACACAAUUUAACUCCUAAAAGACUCUCACUUUCUUACUUUUUUAAACUUGUUUUUUUUCAAGCUUAUAAUCUGACACAAAAAAAGUAGCAGGGGGAGAGAAGCUCUCCUAGCCAGAUUUAUUGUAUUUCUAUUCCUGAGAAGUAACAAACUCAGCUUUAAAUGGAAGAAUAGCUUCGCUAGUAAAGUUCUCAUCCUCUUAAUACUGCCUUUGUUUUGCUGACAAAGCUGCUCCAGGUGCAAGAAAAGAAGAGUACAGACAGUUCAAGAGUAUUUUUAGGAGAAUUUUAUUGUUAUGGGAAUCCGCAGCAGGCGUGUCAUUAAAUAAACAGUCUUUUAUGGUAUUUUUAGGGUCUGAACAUUUUGUAACCCUUUUCGAAUUUUUCACAAAAUGUAUAAUGAGGCUUCUUUAUUUUGCUGUUUUUUUGGUUUCAUGUUUUCCUCUGUGAUUAACAUUUUAAAAAUCACAGUUUCACUAUGAUGGUCUUGGAUGUGUGUGGGCUGGUAUCCCCUUGAAGAGGGUGUCAGUUUUUCGUAACUCUGCUUGGUAUGUUGUCAAAAUAGCACUUGUCCAUUAUGUGAGGAGUCAGAUUACUUUGUGCAUGGGUUUUGUUAGUCUUGUGUUUUAUAUUUGUCUAAUAUAUUGUCUUAUAUCGGUCUGAAACUAAAUCUAUAUAUCUAUGUCUCUAAAUAUCUAUUUUAGAGGAUUAUUUCUCAAUUCACAUGUUCAUAUACUAAUUAUUUAAUUAUUAAACGUUUGCACUUGACGAUUUGAAGACUAUUUUACAAAUUUAAAAUGAUCCAUCGUGCACAAAAAGUAAUAAAAACAUCUAAAUCAUAGCAAUCAGAUACUUGAAGUUGCUGUAUAGACAUCUGUACCUUACAUAACUGUAACUUUGGUCUGAAUGAACAGAUUGCUGCUUGAUACCGUAAGAGUGUGUGUGUGUGUGUGAGGGAGCAUCCCUGAUCCCAUCACUCAUUAUAUAUGCAGUAGUAUCUCUAACAUUGAAUCUCUCAAAGGAUCUGCUCUCAUUAAUUUCUAGCAGCUGGUUUGAUACAAUGAGUACAGAUGAACCCUUACGAAACAUUAACGCCAUGCAGGACCGUUGGUGUUUUCACUUUGAGAGAACUACGAGAACCACAGAUGAACUUGCAGGAUUACACGGUGAUGUCUUCUCACACAGAUUACAGUUAACAGCGGAGGUCAUGAUGAUUGACCUCUUGUCUCGUAGUGAUUCUUAUUUAAUGGGUGAAUCCUAAAUGCUUAAACAAACAAGGGCUGUUCUCUCUCUCUCUGUCUCUGUUUCUCUGCUCCAUUUAAAUCCAAGCAGACAGCAGGCUGUACGCACACCAAAGUGUCAAGGCCUAAGCAAUGCAAUUUCAUAACUAAUGCAUAUUCAAAUUAAAGACAGAUGUCAUACUUAAAAUAAGAGAAUAAGUUUGAUGUCCUUUUUAUUUGAUGAUAAAAUCUACUAAAUAACCACAUAUCUGUUUUUAUGUAGAGUGUAGUGCAACCCGUGUGUCAUCUAUACAUAUGCAGCAGUCCAGUUUUCACUUCAGCGUUAAGAUUUCUCUAAAAGUUAAGUUGGAGAGUGUAAAUUAAUUAUCACAUCUUUCUGAAUAUGCAGAAACACAACAAACACUAGCAGUCUGACUCCAAACAGCAAGCAGCAGGUGUAAUAACACCUGCACAUGCUUGUGCUUGGAGCUGUUUUUGUUCUUGACCUUUGCGCUAUUGUACUCUUAAAACCAGACACAGCUCUGAGACACAGACUUUUUUUUAUAAUGAGAAGGUGAGUAAACUGCAGUCUAUUUUAAAAAAAUUUUGGCUUUGUGUGGGAAUUAUUUUAGCCAGUUGCAUAUUGAAGUACUUUGUAUUACAUUAUUUUUUAAAUCCCCAUGGAAACAUCCAAAUUUAUUCCUGUGCCUGUUCUUUGCUCAUGAGAAAUCCUGGGAGGCAGUUUUAAUUAAAUAUACAUAAUGAGUAGCUGAUCCCAAAGCUCUUAAGCUCUUACUGUUUUCUCAUAAAUUAUGCUGCCAUAUAUUAACUGUUGGAACAUUUUAGACUUUUUUUCAACUUUCAACAGAAAUGAAUGCACAGUAAGACAACCACACACAAACUCAAAUAAUGGCAGUAUAUGUUGUAGGAAAAAAAGAUAUCACUUUGCAUAUGUACAACUACCUUAAGGGGAUUUGUGGGAUUUAUAUAAUGUUUGCUUUUUGAUCUACACAGGCAUGGACAUUUGGUUUUGUACUGGCCUCAUAUUCCUUUAAAUCCAUACCUCAAGACUGCGAUCUCUAAAUGCAGAAAACCUAAACAAAAGCCUCAUUGAUUGAAUAAUAAAACAAGAAAAGAAAACUGCCAAUCUAUGAGUAUAUUUAAACCAUGUGCCAGCGACCUAUGACCCCCACUCAGACCAGUGGUGUCAGAUACCUUCAUGUCAUGUCCCUGCUCACCCGUCAUCAAAAUGUCUUCUCAAACUUAACUACGAACUGAGGCAAAGCUUCUCCUCUGUGAUCCGUUGGAAAGUUUUUUUAAUUUGUUUUUUUUAGGUUAAAUAACUCCACCACCCUUUUAAGCUAACUAAGCUUUAGCACUAGAUGUGUCAUAAUGGCUUUCUCUUGUAACAUCCACUGACAACAAAAGUGAAAAUGCUCUUCUUUUUACUCCCCUCCGUAUAAAGUGUUUCCUCUGCAACAAUUUACCCUGAAGUCACAUCUGUAAUUCGGGACACAGACUUGUUGGAUGAGGACUCAAGAGAAGGAGCACUUUGGGUCUGACUUAACCUCAGCCCUGAAACACAUUGGUGUAAAAAAAACAUCCUUGUAAAAUCCCAGAUGGCUGAACCACUGCUGCAAUCACAUAAGUCGACACCUUCUCCUGCCAGGAGAAAAGGAUAUAAACUGGGGGUUUCAUCUGAUGGGCGUCGUAAACAUAAACAAGUCGACACAAAGCGCUAUUUCAGGAUCAAGUCAGUGCCUCGAUGACAAUAGAUCUUUUUAUAGUCUGCUUUUGUUGGUAGUUAAAACUUACUUUUACAUUUCAGUUCACAGCCAUGUUGAGAGUUAUCUGACAUGUUUGUUACAUAGACUGUAUAAACUAUGGACAUCUUGGUUCCGCCUUCCGCCAGUAUAAGGAUUUGAAGCCGAAAAGCUCUCUGUAUUUCGUUUUUUCUCCACUUCCUGAAACCAAUAUUGCGCAGUAGCAUUGCACACAUUCCGCGGGAGAGUCGCCGAGAGCCGCCGUGACGACGCUUGGCUCAAAUAGCGUAUCCCCCGGCCGAGCUAUGCAAUCUUCGUACGGCCAUAGGCUGUAUCAAGUGUCAAUCAAAGAAAACAUGAACCCCCUAAUAACUUUUAAUAACGGAGCUUCACAGAAAAAAGAGGACUUGAGCACAAACCAGUCUUACAGUAACUACAUGUCAACAUCGCAAACAGGGGGGAGAAAAAAAUGUAUAUUCUGUGUAAUAAAUUUCUAAAGUUUGUCCACAGCUCCAUAAGCUUUGCUGGCAGAGGUGGGAUUUAUGACCUAUACUGCAGCCCGUCAACAGAGGGUGCUGUUUUCGGAGUGGCUUCACCCAGUGAGGAGGCAGACAGCGUCCAUUCUAUAUUAGAGUCUAUAGUUUGUUAUAAUUCAAAAUCAUCUUAACAGCAAAAUGAAUAGUAGAGUAGGUGAACCAGACCUUUGCAGGAAUACUGUUCUCAUUCAGCUUCUGUUCCUCUCAGGGCUUUGGAUUUUACAUACCUUUAAAACAAAAAUUAGACAAAUGCCAAUAUCUAACCCUAUCUGUUAUCAGCGCUGCUUACACUUUGAGUUCUUGUUGUUUUUUUAAGAGCAACCAAAGACAUUCAUUAACAAGCUCUGCUGCCAUCGCCUGGAUUGCAGGACAGGAUCUUGCCUCAUUUGUUCCUAUCAGUGAUGGUUGGGGCCCUCUCUGCCUCUACAAGUCAAUAAAAUCCGCUUUUAAUAUCACAUGAUGGCUCUGUCUGUUUCUGCACUUCUGUUCUGUGAAAUUUCGGAUCAAACCUCUUUUAUUUCAGCAGUCAGUGUGGAGGUCAUGCCGUUCAGAGACCACAGAUCAGUGCGUUUCCAUGCUUAAACACCCGCAAGUUAAAGGGUCAAACUCACUUGAACCUUUCUGCUGUCAGAGUCACAGCUGGAAUUAUUAAUGGCCACUGAGCUGUCUGUUUCCAUCAAACCGUUCGCUCUGUACUCAGCACGUCAAAGAACGAACAGGCCUUUGUGCUUCCUCUGUCAUCAACAUGACCGUGUAGUGAUGUGAGCCUGUGUGAAAAAUCACAGUUAAGUACUCACACCUGAGUUACCAUCUGAACCCGUCUGUGUGUCUGUAACACAGGUGUCACAUCCAGAAUAAAGGGCUGGAAGAAACACAAAAACUAAAUAAUGUAUAGGUUGUGUGUCUGUGCCUGUGUUAAUGGUAAGAAUGCGAAGAGGCCAGACAGUGUGAGUGCAUGUACGUGUGAGGAGGCCUGUUCCUUUCUGGAUUGACAUUUAAAGUUGUUAGAUAUCAAAGACAGCUCUGUAAAUAUUGAUGGUGUAUGUUUUCUUCUGUUGACUGAGUGUUAUGGAAGCCCUCCAGGGACAAAACACGUCCAGCUGACACAACCAAUGGGGUUCCUUAUGUGUGUGUUGGUGUACGUAUGUAUGCUUCUUUUCAGUAUAUGUGAACCGGUGAAUCUCAAAGGCAUGAAUCCCUCUGAGAGUUAACACCUCUGAGACGCCGACCCCUCUUCACUGUACUAUACGACUGUCCUGAGACCAGGCACAGCUGUGAGGUUAACCUCCUGAACAGAACGUUUUAUUGUUCAGCCAUGCUGUCCUAGUCAUCAUGAGGUUCACUUAGGGCUGAGUGAAUCACAUUUUUAGCCAUUUGUGACUAAAAUAGCAAAAAUUAAAGAGCAAGUGCCCUCAGCAAGGGGGAGAAAUCAGAGCUCGAUGAGCACUGCUGAUACAAAUCUGAUUAAUAAUCUUUAUCGAAUGUUUUUUCGUGUCAUUCUCUGCACAAAAUGGCUCGUUCCAAACUGAGUCACUGAAAUUAAAAUGACAGUAAAAAAUUGAUGCUGACCAUUAUUCAAAAAUACUGAUUUGUUUAUGCAUUUAUUAAGUUUGUCUUUUUUAGCUCUGCUACAUUGCUGUCAGUGUUCAAUUCAUGUGAAAAUGGUAGAAUUAACACCCACUAAAAUAGUAAAUAUACCACAGUAAUAAUACACUGCUGAGUACUUCAUGGGUCCAUGCACUAUCCAUCCAUUCAAUUAUUCCAUUCAAUCUAGUAAACGAAAAAUGAAAAAUGAGUCAAUAUUCUUUUUUUAGUUUUUCUGUAUAACCAAAAAAUCAAAAAUGUGUGUUUGUUUUCGUAUUUUCAGCUCAAACAGAACAUAUAGAGAAGGAAACAAAAACAAAAUAAUAAAUCUAAUUUACAAUUAUUGAUUUUGAGUGCGCUCAUUCGAGCAUACGUGCAUGGAGGCUACAUUGACCUUCCCCUGAUCCUUAGCAAUAGUUACCAUGGCGAUAGAUGCGACGGAGCGGUUCGAGCGCCAAAAUCUUACGUUGUAACAGAGCUCUGGUUUUCUACAGUCAUAUCUUCCUCCUUCAGUGUGACCCUCUUGGCGACUUUGAAUAAUACGUAGGAGGCGUCCAUCUCCAUGACAGCAGGUUAGCCUUUCUCUACCGCUCUGGCUGCGAGUUUCUGGUCACCUUGUUGGCUACUUUGUCGUGUGAUGCUCAUGUGCGAACAGUAGAAAGACACCGUGGGAAAUGGGGACAUCAAUAAGCCGAAAACGAAAAGUAGAUUUAGUAUUUUGUUUUCGUUUCCAUCUCUAUUAUAUACUCUGUUUUGAACUGAAAAUACAAAAACAAACACUAAUCUCUUAUGUUUUGGUUAUAUAGAAAAACAAAUAAACAAAAUAUUGACUAGUUUUUUUGUUUUUUGUUUACUUGAUUGAAUGGAAUAAUUGAACGGACAGAUAAUACACGGACCUUCAUGUCACUGUUUUUAACACUGGUGUAUUUUCUAUUUGUGUUUUUUUACUUGCUGCAGUCUAAACCUUGUCUUACCCCUUCCGGCAGCAUUUCCCAGCUGUGAGUGGGGCCUUCAUGGAUUCUCCGUACAAUGGCAACACGUCCCUGCAGACGUCCACCUCGAACCUCAACGCUGGCUACUCUCGACCCUCAGAAGCAGAGGAUGAUGGGAAAGUUUCCAGCGACACCAUUUGGCUGUGGAUCGCAGUGCUGGCAACCAUUGGAAACAUAGUGGUGGUGGCUGUGGUUUGUGCCUGCGCCUUCUGAUGAGAUGGAGAAGAGGAGCGAAGAUGCUGCUGCUGCUGCUGGAGGAUAAUGGAAGAUCAUGUACAUAACAAGAAUAUAUUUUUCUUCAGAGACUAUGGGAAAUAGCCUGACUUUAAGAUUUGUUACCAUGGACUUUGAAGCAUGAUCAGUAUGUUAAGUUUUAAAAGGAAAUUUAUGUGGUUUAAUUAUUGAAAAACUUAACUUUUUCUACCAGCAUAAGAAAUCAAAUUGGGGAAAUUUAGGGGGGAAAACUCAGUUUAUUUAUCUAUUUAUUUAUUGAAAGAUUUGAUCCUAUUGAAAAGAUGUCUUCAUACAAAUAGAAUAAUGUUUUACUUUUCUGUUCAAUCCUAUCAAGCAACAAAUCCACAACACUAUGUCCAAGCACAAAAUAGAGGCAUAAAAGGAACUAGAAUGGAAAACCUCAUACUGACCAAACAGGUCCACAAACGUACGAUACCAUACAUAUAUUUUCUUCUCUUCAAUUCAGCCAACAGCAAUCUCAAACCACAUCAUUUAUAUCAACAUAACUGUCAGGAAAAUCAUGGGCCCGCUAUUGUUUAUUGAUAGCUUCUGUGGCAUGAAAAGAACAUUUGAAAUAUAGUUCCUGCAACAAGCCACAUGCAAAACCGUAAAAAUGUCUAAUUCUUCAAAUACUUUUACUAUUUGAUGUUUUGGAUUUUAAAAGACAAGAAAAAACUACAUUCAGAUGACUGUUUUAAAGAGCUGCUGCAUGAACCAGGUGACUUUUAUUCCAGCCCCCACAUGUGAAUGCCACAUUAACAUUAUCUUAAUGAGCACUGACCUCGGGGGUGGGGGGUAAAAUUAUUCAUCCUGCAUCCAGGUAAAAAAAGAAAAUCAGAAAGCACUGGCCUUAAAAUAAUGGCCUAGCAUGCUUGCCAAUGGUCAGCUGGUUAUGCAAGGCAGGCUGGUGUUACGUAAACCCUUUCAGUCAUGGUUACACUAUUAUCUCAGUGGAGGUCGGCUUCAGAACUACAAGGAUUAGACAUGAUCAUAGCUAGAUCUCUUAGUGGGAUCAGGAGACAGAAAGUGAUCCAGCACUGUGAAGGAUUAACAGAGUGUACUCAUGUGGGAACAGAGGUCAAAGGUUCAACAUCAUCUUGUGACAUCCUGAUGAUGUUUGAUCAAAGUGCUGAAUUUUAACCUGCUCUGUCUGUACCCAUCUUUUCAACAAUAAAAUAAUUGCUUUAAUUCUAUUUAACAUUUUAAGCCAUUGUUACAAAUUGACAUCUAUCCCGUUCCUCUUACAUUAGAUGAUGGUUGUUAGCUUGCAAAGUGCAAACUGGGUCCUAAAUUGCUGAUGCAGAUUUAAAAAGGACUCAAAUGGAGUGAAAAUGCCCACAAAUGUGUCCCUGAUCUCAAACAGACUGGAACAAAAAGCCCCUUUUUAUUUCAGCUAAGAGCUAGCUUCAUGAGUUGGACUUAUCUAAAGCUAACAAUACCAAACUUGGUUGAUACAGUACGACUACAGCUAUAGCAAGAGGUAAGCACCUCUUUCCAGAAAAGGAUACAGCUGCAAGACAUGGAAGCCAAAGAGAAACAACACUAAUCUUUUGUAGUAUUGAUAAAGGUGGGGUAGGCAGGAUCUGAGGAAGUACCAGUUUUUGGGGAGAAAUCUUGAAUGUAAAUACUUCCCCUCCUCUCCCCUCCGUCUCUGCUCCAGCAAGCCCCGCCCACAAACAGACGCUCCUGCUCGCUCGUAUCGUUCUAAUUAAAUUCAGAUAUAAUGCAGAUAAAUACUUCAGAUAAUUACAAACGGGGCCCAGUCAACGUGAAAGUAAAAAGCAUUGGUGCUACUGUAGAUGCCAACAGACUACGAACAAACACAUUGUUUGCGGGACUUCUACAACCAGGAUAAAGUGACAUAGUCCAGGACCUGAGGUAAACAGUUUAGUGGCGUUACAACACGCAGCAGGUCCCGUUUGACAAGAAACACUUCUGUGACAGACUCUUGGCUUACUUGGUUAAAGCGGUUUACCUGUCCAGCAGAAAGGUUACAGGGUCUGUAAGAUCCCGAAGCAAACCCAUCCUUUAUGCUGAUGUUGACCCGGCUUCUUAACUCUUAUCCAGUCUGCCUCCUUUUUAGGCGCCAGAGUCUCCAGUAUUUAUUUCAUUUUCUUGCUUGUGUUGGCAGUCGUGGCUAAAGGAGGAUUCAGACAAUUUUCCAUACUUUCUGGUUGGUUUCUACUGUCCAAUAUUGUAGCACGCUAACUUUGUUUGGGCUCCUGAAUGACACGGGGGAGCAGCAUCUGCCUCACAACCAAUCAGGUUGGGGGAGGCGGAGAAUGGCUUUGUUUACAGUCAGAAAGAGCGUGGUGCUCAAAAAAUGUAAAAUGUUGACUACACAGACAUAACAAAACACAGCGAUAUUGUUAUAUUACCAAAUGUCAACAAUGACUAAUAGCUAUUGACUGAUAUUAAAAGCUAUUUUGUAUAAACACCACGAAAAAGAUGCUUCUUUAACAGAUUCCUGCCUACCCCACCUUUAAGAUGAAAUCCCCCCCUGUAGAGAAACAAGUUGAGAUCUGCUUUGUGAGGACAGAAAAUGGUCAGUCAGUGCUUUUAAUAAUUGAGUCCCCUUUAUAUUCCAACUUAUUUCUUCCCAGGUUUUCCAAACAUCAACACUAAAAGUUGAAUUAUAAACUCCCUUCAUCUGACAUGAAUGGUUUUACAUUUGAGGAAACUGUAUCACCCUAAAAAAGCCCAGAGGAAACAAACUCAUCCAUAACCGAGCAGGGCUCAGCUGUGACUGAGCGGUGAUUUGUGAAAAUUUGACAAGAAAGGAAGGUCAGGCAGGGGCUUCUCUUUCUGUCAGGGUUACUUUCCCCCGAUUAUAAAGAUAAACACAUCAUUAAAAAGGUUAGUUUCAUUCGCUUCCAGCUCGCUUCAGAUCACUGUAGGGUUGUUAGCGAGGAGACGAAACCUUGUAAAGCAAGGGUUGGUAUAGGAAUAGCACAGAGACAUGGAGACACAAAAUUAGAAAGAUGAGGGUCAGCCGGGCCAGAGAGGUCAAGAAGUAGAAGAAAGAAAAUAAAACUAGAACAAGGAUCAGAGUAAGCCCGUGCUUUUUCAGGUAGAAUAAGGUAAGGUUUCUUUAUGCCUCCAGCUGGUCAUCUAGUUGGGUCAAACCAGAGAGACACUUUUAUUUGUUCUAAUAUGAUCAGGAGAUAUUGUCUCAGAUUACUUGCAUUCAUCCAGUCUAGUCAGACCGGAUCCUGCAGCCAGGGUUUUCCUCUGCAUACGUAUGUGUUUAUAUGCAUGUGUUCGCAUUCGCACAUGAAUCUCACUUUCACCCAGCUGAGCUCCAGCCCGUAUGAGCCGCCCCUCGCCCUGUCAUUGCCAAGCGAAGUAAUGAGCUGUAAUGUGCCUCCCGAGCUUACUUCCCUUUUUUUUUUUCUUUUUUUUUUUUCCUUCUCGUGCUCGACAUCCCAGAGGGGAAUGUGCCCCGGGCGGCUUUUAGAGCAGUCAGAGACGAUCAUAUCUCUGUGGGUGACUUUAUUAGAAACCGAUUUUACAGACAGAAUUGAGCAAACUUCAGCUGCCAGAGACAAAGAUGUAGACUGGAUAGAGAAAAACUCAGCAGGGAUAAGAGAGACAAUUUGUAAUAUUGCGGGCAAAAGGAAGAUGUGCAAAGGAGGGGAGUAUGUUAAGGACGGAUAUGCUCAAUUUAAUCUCUGUCAAUAAUUGAUUGAGGAAAUGAAAGGGGAUAGGUACAAGGGAAGAAAGGAAAUUGAGAGGAAAGAGGCACCCUGUCAGAAUAAAUGAUCAAGAUUAAGUUUGGAGGAUGAAACUAUGUGAUAAAACAAAUUUGCAGGUUCUUAUCUGCCACAGUAAGAUUCCAAAAAACCAACAAACUCGCUGCAUGGCUCUAUUUGGAGUUUGAAACACAAAAUGGACAAAAUAGCCGCAGAGACUAAACACUUACUUGAAAAGCUGCAGUGUGUUUCUUACAUAAACAAUUUCAGAUUUCUCUGAUCAAAUUCAUUGAGGCAGUUAAGUGAUUCAGCUUGAGGGUGUCCUAAAAAAAAAAAAAAAAUCCCAUCAAGAGGAAAAAAAAGCAGGACAUAUUGGACUCUGAGUACAAACAAGUAGUCCUACAUUCUUAGAAAAAGUGCAACCAAAGUACUGCUCUAGGCUUUUUUUUGUUUGUUUGUGGUCUUUGUUUGGUCAGAUGAGGUUCAGUAGUCUGAUGUUUACCCUCAACCUAAGUUAACCUCAACCGUCCUCUCACUGUCCUGAAACAGCAGCCAGCUCUGUGGAAGUAUGGACCCACCUUAAAAUCACUGUGUUAGAAGAGGAUGACCCAAUACUUUGAGUUUACUCACUGGACUCUGCAAAAGAGAGGACAUGUCACAACAUGAGCUUCUGUCAUCUUUGAUAACUCAAUCUACAGCAUGCUCUGACCAGGCAGCUAGUCUCCCGGUAUGAUACUGCCUGAUAUAGGUCACAUGGGAGCAAAGGACUGCAUCACUACUAUGCUGUUGAGAUCACAUGCCUGAUACCGAUCCAGAAACACCAGCAACUUAUACACAGAAGCAUAAGGUGAGGAGUAGCAGUUUGAUUUUAGCUAUUAGUCAAGAAACUACACUGUCAGUGUCUGCACAAUAUCCUGCAAUCACUCAUGCCAAGAGCAAAAAUUUGCAUUUAUAAAACAAUGGACGACACAUGCUGUCGCUACCUGAUCCGUCCCGGAAACCUGAUUUGUACUGCGAAUGUGUGAAACAUACAUCACUUCCUCUCUUGGCAUUUCAAUGUGUUUUAUGGCAGUGAGUCGCUACCUACCUGAUCCGUACUGCGCUAGUGCAAAUUUACUUCACCUUAAAAAGUUUAUUUAAACUACUGAUCGAUUCAGAAACAAGCUAGUGAUGUGACAGGCUGGCUAGAAGGAUGCUCCAAAGCUAAUGCCGAGGCAUUCGCCAGAGCUCCUGCCCAGCACAGUGAGACCUCUUGGGCCACAGAGAGCGCCGCCUCCCGGUCAAAUUCAUGGUUCUCUGACUUUUCACAGUAUCAAAGGGGGGUUUAUUUCAAAUAUUUUAUCAAUUAAAUGUAUUAACCGGAGGCCUACACAUUAUGGACAAUGAAUUGCAGCUUUUUUUUACAGCGUAAAAUUUCAACAAUGAAAUGUUGCAAUUUUACAAUUUAGCUGGAGAAGGAACCUUUAAUUAUGAAACCGGGCGCCAUUCUCUUGACUUUCAUGCGCUCUGCUUCAGUCGGGGGAAGCACUCCAUUCAGGAGAAAGAAAAGCAUGUGGCUAUUGUAAACUGAAGCAUCCAUUCUGACUGAAGCGAGCUCGCUGAUGCUGAAGCUGUCGCAAACCGCGAGGGGCAAAGAAUCGCUGAGCUGUCACAAAGAUGGCUAGUAUGGCUAGUAGAGGGAGUGACAUACAUUUCGCACAUGCGCAGUACAAAUCGGGUUUCUGGGACGGAUCAGGUAGCGACACAUCUGUUCAAUUUUCAUCUUAUACAUCAACAACUACCCACCAUCUGUUAUUUACCAUGCCACCGGACUGUUUUUUCGCUGCCCCUUUAAGUUUGGGAAAAUGGGGUCACAGAAAACUUUGUGUGUGAGUAGGGUGCAGCUUUUUCAGGCCCUGAUUCAUGCAUAUGAAGUUGUCGCAAAGGAUUGUACAAAAGCAGUAUGUAUAAAUUGGUAAUAACUGAGGUAUUCUUUUAUAUUAGGUAUUAGAUAUUCUUUUAUAUACAGUCAAACAAUCUUCUUCUAACACCUUUUUAAGUCAACAUUGUGGUGUCAUAUCAAACAAAGAGCAAAUGAAGGUUUCCAGGCAUAAAUUCGAUAAGACAUCUUGCAGGACUUGAACCCAAGAUGGCAGUAUAACAAACAUAAUUGUACAAACUCAGCAGCGGUCUAACCCUGAAAGCAUCCCACAGCUUCAACCUGGAUCCCACUGUGAGGUUGAACCUGUUAUCUAAUACUGAAGUUAGUGUAUUAUUUAAAAACAUAACGUUUUCUGUGGCUUUCUUGUUAUGUCAUAUUGUUCCCUUUCCUUCAUCCCUUCCUCAUCAACUGCAAUCCUCCUUUCAUGCAUGUGAGGCACCAGACCGUGAAGUCCACAUUGUGAAACCCCCACUUUCUGCACAUGCACGCACAAACACACACACAGACACACUGUCUUCAACAGAGCUCUGACUCAAGCAAUCUGUCAUCUUCGCUUAUCUACCUUUUUUCAUCUUUUUUAUCCCCUGCUUUAUUGGGUGCUACUGUAAUGGUCUAAAGUCAAGUUUGGGUCAAAACACAAGAUGGGGUUGCUUGAGUUCAGACAUGGUUGCAGAAGAUAAGAAAAGCCUAGAAAAGAUUUUUAUUAUUCAUUUUCUCCCCUGUAAUAUGAAAUAAUGUCAAAGUUCCCUGACAGUUCUUACCUAACAAUAAAAACAGCUAAAAAAUUGCAUUUUUUUUGCACCAGAAAAAUGAAUGGUAAAAAUUUGAUCCUAUAACUCCUGUGCUUUUACAUUUUUUGAACUUUUAAUGCAAAUGAAAUGCUCCUGUAGUCUAACACUUUUAGGGCAUGUUGUCUACUUUGCAGUGACUCCCAUCUUUGCUUUUCAGAAGACAAAAAGGAGACAACAGUUUCCAGAAACUGACAAACUUUGCUCAUCUGCUACACAAAAAGAAGAAAGACUACAUUUUGGGACACUCUGCAGUCUCACCAAUUUUCAGGAAACAAUUGUGCAUAAAGAUACAAGUGGACACAUGACAGUGUUGCCUGCACAGGUGGAUCUAAACCAGGAGGAGUGACUCUGUGGGACAUUUUGAGUAUCUUUAAUGAAUGAGACAACAGUCAACCUUGCAUCAUGUGGCAGGACAUCACCACGCUGAAGAUUCCUUUUUUGCUCUGUACAUUAGGCUCCAGAGUAAUAUACUGCUUUCAAGUCAAACAUGUAAUCAAAGCCAUGAAAGAUUUGAAUAUUUAGAGUCAAAUCUGUUUUGAAAUUGAAUUUUUGGCACAUCUGCAAACGUGUCUCACUGUCUGAAGAAGAUUAUAAGCAGUCUGAUUCAACAUCUUUAUCUAAUUGAAAAUUUCUUGCAGGACCAGAAAGAGGAUUUUGUUUUAAUAAUGAGUCAUUUAAACAUGACAUGGUUCCAACAAGAAAACAUAACAGUAUGGCCGUGAAUUAGCUCUAAAUUAACUCCAAAUGUUGAGAUACUCAACAGAUAGGUCAAUAUUUUUACAGUUGGUGUAAGUUAGACUUGGUUUUGGCCAAAAUCUUCAAAAGAGUAAAAGAUGUCACAUUGUGUCUGUGUUUUAUUAUACAGAUGGUUUAAACAGAGCGCUUUGCGAGGACUAUACAGAGACAGCAUUGGUGUAAACAUUCUCAGCACUGUGGUUAGCAGGUGGAAAAUGUAUAAAGCAUGAACCAUCACUUGGCACGCAUAAAGUCGAACUAAUUUUUUCCUUUUUUGACUUUCUUCCUUAUAAUUCAUUCAAUUUUUACAUGUAAUAAUGAACAAAAGUUACAAAUAACGCUUUUUUGUAAUAUAUGAGAGAGGUUUUGAUGUCAGGUUUCAGUCCACAGUCCCAUGAUAUGUUUCUCCUCUAUCUCUCAGAGUUUUAUUGCAAGAUUUUCACCCAUUGUAAUUUUCCAG
This 14312-nucleotide long non-coding RNA is filed under the name Xyrichtys novacula (pearly razorfish). Lineage: Eukaryota; Metazoa; Chordata; Actinopteri; Labriformes; Labridae. The record is from RNAcentral.